AAAAUUAGAGUGUUCAAAGCAGGCAGAUCCAAUUUUCUGCCACCGAAUACAUUAGCAUGGGAUAAUGGAAUAGGACCCUGUCCUCCUAUUUUCAGUUGGUUUUGGCAGCGCGAGGACUAGGGUAAUGAUUAAUAGGGAUAGUUGGGGGCAUUAAUAUUUAAUUGUCAGAGGUGAAAUUCUUGGAUUUAUGAAAGAUUAACUUCUGCGAAAGCAUCUGCCAAGGAUGUUUUCAUUAAUCAAGAACGAAAGUUAGGGGAUCGAAGACGAUCAGAUACCGUCGUAGUCUUAACCAUAAACGAUGCCGACCAGCGAUUAGGAGACGUUGAAUACAAAACACCACCAUCGGCGCGGUCGUCCUUGGCGUCUCGGUUUCGGCCGGGGCGCGGGGAUGGCUUAGCCCGGUGGCACCGGUGAA
Molecule: ribosomal RNA, 415 nt
Filed under: Acanthamoeba sp. IMU15
Lineage: Eukaryota; Discosea; Longamoebia; Acanthamoebidae
Description: SSU rRNA
Rfam family: Eukaryotic small subunit ribosomal RNA
Source: RNAcentral